GAUCCUGGCUCAGGAUGAACGCUGGCGGCGUGCCUAAUACAUGCAAGUCGAACGCAUCACUUCGGUGAUGAGUGGCGAACGGGUGAGUAAAAGAUAAGGAACCUGCCCUAGGCAGGGGGAUAACGACCGGAAACGGACGCUAAAACCGCAUAGGCUGGGAACUCGCAUGAGAAACCAGUUAAAUAUCCUUUAGGGGAUAGGCAAAGGAGGGACUUAUCACGCAUUAGCUAGUUGGUGGGGUAACGGCCUACCAAGGCGACGAUGCGUAGCCGGCCUGAGAGGGCGGACGGCCACACUGGGACUGAGACACGGCCCAGACUCCUACGGGAGGCAGCAGUAGGGAAUUUUCGGCAAUGGGCGAAAGCCUGACCGAGCAACGCCGCGUGAACGAAGAAGGUCUUCGGAUUGUAAAGUUCUGUUAUAGAGGAAGAACGGUGUACGUAGGAAAUGACGUACAAGUGACGGUACUCUGUGAGGAAGCCACGGCUAACUACGUGCCAGCAGCCGCGGUAAUAC
This 516-nucleotide ribosomal RNA is filed under the name uncultured bacterium. RNAcentral describes it as "bacterial SSU rRNA". It matches the Rfam family "Bacterial small subunit ribosomal RNA", at positions 15 to 526 of the family's 1533-position model. The record is from RNAcentral.